Molecule: microRNA precursor, 77 nt
Filed under: Canis lupus familiaris (dog)
Lineage: Eukaryota; Metazoa; Chordata; Mammalia; Carnivora; Canidae
Description: miRNA (ENSCAFG00000055769.1)
Source: RNAcentral
GCCCUGAUGACACCUUGAUUUUGGACUUCUAGCCUCCAGAACUAUGAAAGAAUACAUUUCUUCUUUUUUAAACCACC